AAGCACUAAAGAUCAAUUACAUAUAAAAAGAAUAUUUAAAGCUCUCAUCAAGAAGAUCCAAAAUAUUAUUUUCACCCUUUUUUCCUUUCUUCUUCAAAUCUUCUUUUUCCAUUUUCCACUCAUCAAUUCCUGUUGUUUCAUCGCCUUCUCUUUCCUUCUUCAUACAUCUAUUUCUCCUUUCUUCUACAUGCUAUGAUUUAUCAAUUAUUUAGGAUUUUUGUGCUUUGAGAAGGAAAUGGAGAUUAAAAAUUAAAAAAAUAAAAUUGAAAAAGAGAGAUAUAGAAAUUAGAUUGAAAGCUAAAAAAUUUAACCAAAAAAUUGAAGAAAUCCAUCUUCAAACAAUCGUUGAGAGAUAAAUUGAAAGAUAAAAAGGGAAAAACAACUAUGGAGAGAGACAGAAAGGGAAAGAGAAAAAGAGAAAAAAAUCCAAAUUGAAAAAGCAAAAAAUCUUUUCUUCUUUAUAGAUUUAUAGCUUCAAGAAUUGCAAGAAGAAGAAGAUGUAGAGAAAGUAGAGAUGGAGGAGAGAAAAAAGUAGAGAUGGAGGAGAGAAAAAGUAAAUGAAUUAAUAAUUAAAAAUGUCAACUGUUUGAGAAUUACAAUCUUUACGUGCGACUUUUAGAGUGUAUUGACGCAUCAUACUCACUGGACCAAUAAGGGAAUAAUAUAUACAAAAG
Molecule: long non-coding RNA, 674 nt
Filed under: Jatropha curcas
Lineage: Eukaryota; Viridiplantae; Streptophyta; Magnoliopsida; Malpighiales; Euphorbiaceae
Description: long non-coding RNA (JCUR_LNC002675)
Source: RNAcentral